RNAcentral lists this ribosomal RNA (253 nucleotides) under uncultured bacterium. RNAcentral describes it as "partial 16S ribosomal RNA". It matches the Rfam family "Bacterial small subunit ribosomal RNA", at positions 524 to 776 of the family's 1533-position model. The record is from RNAcentral.
UACGUAGGGUGCAAGCGUUAAUCGGAAUUACUGGGCGUAAAGCGUGCGCGGGCGGUGAUGUAAGACAGAUGUGAAAUCCCCGGGCUCAACCUGGGAACUGCAUUUGUGACUGCAUCGCUGGAGUACGGCAGAGGGGGAUGGAAUUCCGCGUGUAGCAGUGAAAUGCGUAGAUAUGCGGAGGAACAUCGAUGGCGAAGGCAAUCCCCUGGGCCUGUACUGACGCUCAUGCACGAAAGCGUGGGGAGCAAACAGG